UUGAGACAAAGGCUAAAUGUACCUUGAACUCUGAUAAAUUCCACACUUUACAGAGUUUUUAUACAAGUUAAUCUGCUUUCUGGUUGCUACCAGGAAGUAUGCAAACAUUUCACUUGCUUGAGGAAAGGACGGGUUCAAAUAUUUUCUGUAUUGUUGAAUUUGAGCCAGAAUAUUUAUGAUGGUUUUUGUUUCAUUCUCAGUAAAAGUAGGUGUGUGUUUGCAAGUCUUUGUACAUAAAAAGAAGCGAGCUUGAAAGCUCACAGAACUGGCUCUCAUCGUCUCUGAAGAGUACCAGGAGUUUCGCAAAACUCAACACUCUGCAGAACCUGAUCUACAGACAGCAGAGAACAUUCAACAAAGGAAUCUGUCACUGUUGCAAAUCAAACAUUUUGAGAUCAUCUGGAUCUGCAAACUGUUGCCAACAACAGACCAAGGCAGAUUGACACCGAAGGAGAACCAACACUGACAAUCAGGAUGUGCCUGUUAUUGAC
Long non-coding RNA from Gambusia affinis (western mosquitofish), 491 nucleotides. RefSeq lists it as uncharacterized. The record is from RefSeq and is a predicted model, not a curated record. NCBI's taxonomy places the organism in Eukaryota, Metazoa, Chordata, Actinopteri, Cyprinodontiformes, Poeciliidae. The transcript is spliced from 4 exons.